This 252-nucleotide ribosomal RNA is filed under the name uncultured Bacteroides sp. RNAcentral's name for it is "partial 16S ribosomal RNA". It matches the Rfam family "Bacterial small subunit ribosomal RNA", at positions 524 to 776 of the family's 1533-position model. The record is from RNAcentral. Lineage: Bacteria; Pseudomonadati; Bacteroidota; Bacteroidia; Bacteroidales; Bacteroidaceae.
UACGGAGGAUGCGAGCGUUAUCCGGAUUUAUUGGGUUUAAAGGGUGCGCAGGCGGAAUGUCAAGUCAGCGGUAAAAUUUCGGGGCUCAACCCCGUCGUGCCGUUGAAACUGGCAGUCUUGAGUACAGUAGAGGUGGGCGGAAUUCGUGGUGUAGCGGUGAAAUGCUUAGAUAUCACGAAGAACUCCGAUUGCGAAGGCAGCUCACUAGACUGCAACUGACACUGAUGCUCGAAAGUGUGGGUAUCAAACAGG